RNAcentral lists this non-coding RNA (930 nucleotides) under Guibemantis liber. RNAcentral describes it as "12S rRNA". It matches the Rfam family "Bacterial small subunit ribosomal RNA". The record is from RNAcentral. Lineage: Eukaryota; Metazoa; Chordata; Amphibia; Anura; Mantellidae.
UAAAAGUUUGGUCCUAGCUUUAUUAUUAAAUAUUUCUUAACUUACACAUGCAAGUCUCAGCACACCAGUGAGGACGCCCUUAAUUUCUCCUCCAGAUAAAGGAGCCGACAUCAGGCACAAAACUUUUGCCCACAACGUCUAGUCCAACCACACCCACAAGGGAAUUCAGCAGUGAUAAAGAUUGUCUAUAAGCGCCAGCUUGAGUCAGUUAAAGAAAAGAGGGCCGGCUAACCUGGUGCCAGCCGCCGCGGCUACACCAUGGGGCUCAAAUUAAUAAUUAUCGGCGUUAAGCGUGGUUAAAGUCCCUUAAAUUAAAGUCAAAUUUAUGUUUAGCCGUGAAAAGCUUGCUACAAAGAAGAUCAAUAACGAAAGUUACUCUAAUUUUUUCUUGAACCCACGACAGCUAGAAUCACAAACUGGGAUCAGAUACCCCACUAUGCCUAGCCGUAAAAAAUUUAUCCACAACAACAAGCGCCAGGGUAUUACGAGUGCAAACUUAAAAUCCAAAGGAUUUGACGGUGUCCCACCCACCUAGAGGAGCCUGUUCUAUAAUCGAUAAUCCUCGAUUUACCUCACCAUUUCUUGCUACUCAGUCUGUAUACCUCCGUCGUAAGCUUACCAUUUGAAUGCAAAAAAGUAAGUUUAAUGAUUACUCAUCAACACGUCAGGUCAAGGUGCAACCAAUGAAACGGGAAGCAAUGGGCUACAAUUUCUAUAAUAGAACACACGAAAUACUACAUGAAAAAUAGUCAUGAAGGCGGAUUUAGUAGUAAAAGAAGAAUAGCAUGCUUCUUUUAACAAGGCUCUGGGACGUGUACAAACCGCCCGUCACCCUCUUCAAUAGCACACUUUAAUUAAUAAUCCUUAGAAGCACCUUAGAAGAGGCAAGUCGUAACAUGGUAAGUGUACUGGAAAGUGCACUUGGCAAAU